This 207-nucleotide ribosomal RNA is filed under the name uncultured bacterium. RNAcentral describes it as "partial 16S ribosomal RNA". It matches the Rfam family "Bacterial small subunit ribosomal RNA", at positions 568 to 774 of the family's 1533-position model. The record is from RNAcentral.
UGCGUAGGCGGCGCGGAAAGUUGGGUGUGAAAUCCCUCGGCUCAACCGAGGAAUUGCGCCCAAAACUUCCGUGCUCGAGGAAGAUAGAGGUGAGCGGAACUUAGGGUGGAGCGGUGAAAUGCGUUGAUAUCCUAAGGAACACCGGUGGCGAAAGCGGCUCACUGGACCUUUUCUGACGCUGAGGCACGAAAGCUAGGGUAGCGAACG